UUCUCGAUCUUCAGUUCACUACUUCACCACCCUCUUAUUUAUUCCUUCUCUUGCGGCGGUGGUGUGGGGUGGUGGUGGUGGUGGUGGUUGUUGAAGGAAUCAAAUGGUGUGUUGUCUGCCAUUUGUUAUAUUUCAUCGAUCCAUUUCAUUACGUUCACCCCCCUCUGUUUCCAUCGCAUUAAGAACCACUCAAUGAAGAUCAGCGCUCACAAUUGGGUCUGCAUAGGCAGGGGACUGCACCUGGUCUGGUUCCUUAAAUAAACUGCUGAUUUACCCCCAGAUUUUGAAGGAAACAAUGAGCGGAUUGGAUUGGGUGGUUUGCAAAGAUGGGGCCGCAAAAGAGUUGACUGAACAGCACGUGUUUUUGAUAUAUUAUGAACUAGAGAUUUGCCUUGAGAGUGGUUUGUACAUAUUAACUUGAUACAAGUUUUUUUUUAUCAAUAAACUUUGUUUUGU
RNAcentral lists this long non-coding RNA (456 nucleotides) under Helianthus annuus (common sunflower). RNAcentral describes it as "hypothetical non coding rna". The record is from RNAcentral. Lineage: Eukaryota; Viridiplantae; Streptophyta; Magnoliopsida; Asterales; Asteraceae.